UGAAAGGUCCUCUAGAAUGCAUGCCAGGCUGCUUCGUCUCUAUAAUGCAAAAACCAAGCACCUAAAGAACAACUAGCCAAGUCUAUAAAACCUACACUGUAAUAAACUUAAUUUCAUUUUAUUCGUUUGGUUUUUCCAUAUACCAAACAAGUUUUUCAAAGGUGAUCUCAACAAUGAGUUGCUGCCACAAUCAUUAUCCAGCUCCUGCAGCAGGAUAUCCACCGCCAACUUGUUCACAGCAGCCACCUUUUUAUCCUCCACAACCGCCUUGUUCACAGCAGCCACCUUGUUAUCCACCACAAACGCCUUGUCCACAGCAGCCACAACAUAACUGUCAAGCCCAUCAUUGUGCCGCACCUCCUCAAGAGAAACCUAAUAGCGGAAAUUGUUGUGCUGUAUUACGUGGCUGCUGCUGCUUGGUCUCUAUUAUUGCAAGCUGCGCGGGAUUUUUUAUGGGGUAAGAGACCAAGACAAUUGAAAUAAUGGAUAUGAGAUAGAAUAAGAGAUGAGGACACGUUAUUUUUAAUAUAUAUGUUACUAUGAAGAUUUGAUAAUAAAUAGCAAACACUAAGAUCAUGAAACACCGUUUACUAAAA
Molecule: long non-coding RNA, 596 nt
Organism: Populus euphratica (Euphrates poplar)
Lineage: Eukaryota; Viridiplantae; Streptophyta; Magnoliopsida; Malpighiales; Salicaceae
Exons: 4
Source: RefSeq, a predicted model, not a curated record